UAAAUAGAAGCCAAAAAGAGGCAUCUAACUGUUAAUUAGAGUAAUGUUUUUUAAACCUAUUUAA
RNAcentral lists this transfer RNA (64 nucleotides) under Branchinotogluma japonicus. RNAcentral describes it as "tRNA-Asn". Lineage: Eukaryota; Metazoa; Annelida; Polychaeta; Phyllodocida; Polynoidae. The record is from RNAcentral.